Long non-coding RNA from Cercocebus atys (sooty mangabey), 1857 nucleotides. RefSeq lists it as uncharacterized. The record is from RefSeq and is a predicted model, not a curated record. The transcript is spliced from 3 exons. NCBI's taxonomy places the organism in Eukaryota, Metazoa, Chordata, Mammalia, Primates, Cercopithecidae.
AAGUCGGCUUCCCGGGUCAGCCAAUCAGAGAUCUGUUGCGAGGUUGCCCGCGGGAAGAAGUGGAGAAUAGGUACGGCACGGGGGCGGGAGCGCCCUUGACGGGCAGGGGCGUGGCAAGAGGAGGGCGGAGUCUGGACGUUAAGCGUCGCAGAGCGCGUGCGCAGGAACGUGGAAAGUUCCAGGACACGGAACCGUUGGGGCGGAGGACCUGAGGGUGGAGCGAGGUAUCACGGGGUUUGUUGAUGACCUAGUCGGUCGAGGCCGGAAGCGUGGGCUACGGGGCUUUGAGCGGCACAGGGCUUUCAGCGGAAGUUGUCGAUCUGGCGCUGUGAUGGCGCCCCUCGUGACGCCUUGUAUCCCCUCAGGCUCGAGCCAGGAGCCUAGGUCCGCUUUGAAAAAUAGUAAAAGGCAGAAAGGCUCCUUGGUGUGAGAGGGAGGGCGGCUGCGCAGUCGGCUGGGUGAGAGAAGCGCCAGGCGGCCGCGUCGUGGCUGUGUCCGGGGCUGCUUUGCGCAGCCGACCGGUCCGCAGCCUCCUGCACUUACUGAGUUUGCGGCCUGGCCGGUGAGGGGCUCCUGGCGCCCCCCAGACAAGUGUGUGGAGAAUGGAGCCCGCGGAGCCACGCAUAGAGAGAGGGCGGGAGCCGGCUUGGUGGCGGCGCAGUCACUCGGGAGGCCCAGAUCCAAGAAUUCUCUCUUGGGAUCUGGAUCGGACCCCUUUCCUGUAACAGAAUUACAGGAGUGAGCCACAGCACCUGGCCUGGAAUUUCCACGCAUGAUUUGGAAGCACUAAAGAAAGGCCAUGUGAACACACAGCACGAAGAUGGCCUUCUGCAAGCCAGAGGCCUCACCAGGAACUAACUCUGUCAACACCUUGAUCUUGGAUUCCCAGCCUACAGAAGCAUGAGAAAAUAAAUUUCUGUUGUUUAAGCCACCCAUUCUAUGGUAUUUUGUUAUGGCAGCCCAAGCUGCCAUACAACUGUAUUUUCAUACAAUUGGUUUUGUUUUGAAUAUGCAUUUUAUUUUACAUAUUUAAAAUACUGGUCUGAGAAAGGGUCGUAGGCUUCACCAGACUGCCAAAGGAGUGCACGGCAUAGAAGUGGACAAGAACCCCUGGGCUCACUGGGUUCUAUGGGUGAGGUUGCUGUUUUCCUUGUUUUCCUCUACUUUGGAGGCUGGAAACUAAACCACUCAACUCCCUAGCCUCUCUUGCAGUUAAAAGCAGGCCUGUGUCUGAGCUCUGGUUAGUGAGGGAUAAGAGGGACCUGAUGUUCCAUGGGAGGAAUUUCUUUCUGGAAUAGAAUGAAAAAGCCUUUUGAGCAUAGACAUUUUUGCCUUUCUUUGCCUGUCUUUCUUCCUGGAUCAUGAUGCAGUGUCUAGAUGUGGAAAAACAAUUUUGCAAUUCUGAAAGUUGCAUGUCAAACAGAGCAGCCGAGACAGCAUGCUGGGGCUGAUGCAUUGGUCUUGGCUGACCACUUCUGGGUGUUCUGUCAAAUGAGAAAACUCAACAUAUUUGGCCAAGCCUCCGUAAUUCCAUGUCUGUUAAUUUGAAGCUGAAAGUAAAGCUAACUGAUAAGCCUGGCAAAUUAAGACUCAUGUUUAGCAGUAUUUCUCAAACUGGGAUCGCUGGACACCCAGAGUCCAUGGAUAUGUUCUUGAGAAUUUGAGAGCUCUGAAAGAAUUCUUUCAGUGUUGUGUGCUCAUGUUGAUGAUAAUCCAAAAUAUAUACAUAGAAAUAAGAAAGAAAAAAUAAUAUAUACACAUAGAUUUGUCUGUUAUAAACACUAAAGUCUCUUAGUCUUAUUUUAUUUAUUUAUUUUUUUGAGACAGAGUCUCACUCUAUCACCCAGGCUGGAGUGC